CAAGGGAAGUCUAAACUAGAGUUGGGGGUGCUCCGGCAAGAUGUCUGUAACUGCCUGGUACUGGGCUAUUCAGAGCUGCCCGGAGUUUGUUACGAAGAGUAAUGGCGUCAGGAGUCGUUCAAGGCCAUGUGAAGUUUGUUAUAGAGAGUAGAGUGGUGUCCGUUGUCGCGACUUGCCAGAGAGUAGUGGAGCCAUACGGAAUCUGUUGUAGAGAGUGGAGCAGGGUAGUGGCCAUUGUCGUGACUUGUCAGAGAGUUCGGAUCUGUCGGCUGGAGCUCGACUAGGACAUCUGAUGGACCGAAAUGGCUCUCCAUCCCAUCGAUCUGGGAGAAGCUCAGAUGUCUCCGAAGCUGCUAACAAGUCUACUAUUGUCGGAUACCUUAGGCACUGAUACUACAGGUGGGAGUCAUCUGCUAUAGAAGCUCGGAUGGAGACUUUCCGUUGGUGAAGUCUGGUAGGAGUUCGAUUGCUAGAUAAGUCCAUCUGAGAUUCGCCUGAUGUGGAAGCUCGUCUGAAGAUGAUCCAUCGGAGAAGUUCGAUUUCAUGAAAGAUCUGGCAGAGGGUCGACCGACGUGGACUUCAGAUGGCACUGGGGAGGUUCGGCAGACGUCGGAGGUGAUCGAUCGUUGUAAGAAUCCAGCUGUCGUAGUCCGUUCAUCGUAGAAGCUCGUCCGAUAUCUAUCCGCUAUGAAAGUUCGAUCGAGGUCUGAUUCUUGCAGAAGGCUGAAAGGAGAUCGCUUAUUGUAGAAGCUCGAUCGAAGAUCGGUUGUUGUGGGAGCUCGAAGUAGCGAUCUGGCCGGUGGAUCCUGUACCGCUGUAGAAGCUCGUCUGGGAUCCAGCUACGAAGAUCGGCUGAAGUCUACCUGUAAUUGAAGUUCAGAAGAGACGUGUUUACAGUAGGAGCUCGAAUGGAAUUUGCUUACAGUAGAGAUCCGGAGUAGACCGCCCGCUGUAGGAGUUCGGAGUAGACCGCUCAUAGUAGAAGUUUCGAGCAGACCGCUCGCUGUUGGAGUUUGGAGUAGAUCGCUUGUAGUAGAAGUUCGACUCUCACAGGAGACCGAUUAGAAUCUUGAAGGCGAUCGACCACCGUAGAAACUCGGAUGGAGUCUGAUUACUAUAGAAACCUCAUUGUCGAAGAAGCUCGGAUAUUGACGAAGUCCGGAAGGAGUUCGAAGAAUAGUUGAUCAUCGUAGAAGGUCGACUGACAGUGAGGCCUAGAGAGCCUUUGGAGCGGCACGGUAGAUGGAUGGAGAAGCUCAUUGUCGGAGAAGUCCGGAAGCUCAGACGGUCGGGGCGGGUUCAGAGAGACGCCACACAAGGUCGGAAGCUGGAGAAGCCCUAGAAGGGUCGGUCUUUUAUAAACUUCGACCGGGGGAUAUUUUAUAUCCAACACAUCUUAUGUAAUUAAUCUCAAAAAAUUUUGUUAUGCAUGCAUAUAUUUCUGACCUAC
This 1450-nucleotide long non-coding RNA is filed under the name Elaeis guineensis (African oil palm). RNAcentral describes it as "long non-coding RNA (EGUI_LNC065503)". Lineage: Eukaryota; Viridiplantae; Streptophyta; Magnoliopsida; Arecales; Arecaceae. The record is from RNAcentral.